Molecule: ribosomal RNA, 510 nt
Filed under: uncultured Actinomycetes bacterium
Lineage: Bacteria; Bacillati; Actinomycetota; Actinomycetes
Description: bacterial SSU rRNA
Rfam family: Bacterial small subunit ribosomal RNA
Source: RNAcentral
CGCAAGCCUGAUGCAGCGACGCCGCGUGGGGGAUGACGGCCUUCGGGUUGUAAACCUCUUUCAGCAUCGACGAAGCGCAAGUGACGGUAGAUGCAGAAGAAGCACCGGCCAACUACGUGCCAGCAGCCGCGGUAAUACGUAGGGUGCGAGCGUUGUCCGGAAUUACUGGGCGUAAAGAGCUCGUAGGUGGUUUGUCGCGUUGUCCGUGAAAACUCACAACUCAAUUGUGGGCGUGCGGGCGAUACGGGCAGGCUAGAGUACUGCAGGGGAGACUGGAAUUCCUGGUGUAGCGGUGGAAUGCGCAGAUAUCAGGAGGAACACCGGUGGCGAAGGCGGGUCUCUGGGCAGUAACUGACGCUGAGGAGCGAAAGCGUGGGGAGCGAACAGGAUUAGAUACCCUGGUAGUCCACGCCGUAAACGGUGGGUACUAGGUGUGGGUUUCCUUCCUUGGGAUCCGUGCCGUAGCUAACGCAUUAAGUACCCCGCCUGGGGAGUACGGCCGCAAGGCUA